Molecule: ribosomal RNA, 253 nt
Filed under: uncultured bacterium
Lineage: Bacteria
Description: partial 16S ribosomal RNA
Rfam family: Bacterial small subunit ribosomal RNA
Source: RNAcentral
UACGAAGGGGGCUAGCGUUGCUCGGGAUCACUGGGCGUAAAGCGCACGUAGGCGGAUUGCUAAGUCAGGGGUGAAAUCCUGGAGCUCAACUCCAGAACUGCCUUUGAUACUGGCGAUCUCGAGUUCGGGAGAGGUGAGUGGAACUGCGAGUGUAGAGGUGAAAUUCGUAGAUAUUCGCAAGAACACCAGUGGCGAAGGCGGCUCACUGGCCCGAUACUGACGCUGAGGUGCGAAAGCGUGGGGAGCAAACAGG